GACCCAAACCCAUUCCCACAGGAGAACGAAAUAAAAAUUAAAAGCAGCGAAUGGAAGCUGGGGAGGAGAAGAAAAGAGGAACUCUAGCAAUCACAGGGUAGGAACCUACUGGACAUCGCCGGAAAUCGCUCCGGGCACCAACGGCAAGGUUCGGUUGGGGAAGGAAGCAAGGGAGAAGGACAACGAAAAUAAGAAGCAGCCAAACAAGACCUUUAGGGCAACCUCGAGGGGUUUAUAUAGACCCCCCUGACGGCCCAGAUCAACGGGGUCGGUUCCCAUCCCCCGAUCGGGUUGCGCCACGUGUCGACCUCGGAGAUCGAGGCACCAUAUUCACUCCGGAUCAAUAAAUCGGGUACGAAAUCGAAGCGUUGUCCCAUCGGAUCUCGGGGCCUCAUCAUGGGUCCGCAGAAUCAAAUCGUCUUGAGGAACGAG
This 432-nucleotide long non-coding RNA is filed under the name Phoenix dactylifera (date palm). Its description in RNAcentral is "long non-coding RNA (PDAC_LNC022224)". Lineage: Eukaryota; Viridiplantae; Streptophyta; Magnoliopsida; Arecales; Arecaceae. The record is from RNAcentral.